GACGAACGCUGGCGGCACGCUUAACACAUGCAAGUCGAACGAGAGAAGAGAAGCUUGCUUUUCUGAUCUAGUGGCGGACGGGUGAGUAACACGUGAGCAAUCUGCCUUUCAGAGGGGGAUACCGAUUGGAAACGAUCGUUAAUACCGCAUAAUAUAAUUGAACCGCAUGAUUUGAUUAUCAAAGAUUUAUCGCUGAAAGAUGAGCUCGCGUCUGAUUAGCUAGUUGGUAAGGUAACGGCUUACCAAGGCGACGAUCAGUAGCCGGACUGAGAGGUUGAUCGGCCACAUUGGGACUGAGACACGGCCCAGACUCCUACGGGAGGCAGCAGUGGGGAAUAUUGCACAAUGGAGGAAACUCUGAUGCAGCGAUGCCGCGUGAGGGAAGAAGGUUUUAGGAUUGUAAACCUCUGUCUUCAGGGACGAAAAAAGACGGUACCUGAGGAGGAAGCUCCGGCUAACUACGUGCCAGCAGCCGCGGUAAUACGUAGGGAGCGAGCGUUGUCCGGAAUUACUGGGUGUAAAGGGAGCGUAGGCGGGAUCGCAAGUCAGAUGUGAAAACUAUGGGCUUAACCCAUAAACUGCAUUUGAAACUGUGGUUCUUGAGUGAAGUGGAGGUAAGCGGAAUUCUUAGUGUAGCGGUGAAAUGCGUAGAUAUUAGGAGGAACAUCAGUGGCGAAGGCGGCUUACUGGGCUUUAACUGACGCUGAGGCUCGAAAGCGUGGGGAGCAAACAGGAUUAGAUACCCUGGUAGUCCACGCCGUAAACGAUGAUUACUAGGUGUGGGGGGACUGACCCCUUCCGUGCCGCAGCAAACGCAAUAAGUAAUCCACCUGGGGAGUACGACCGCAAGGUUGAAACUCAAAGGAAUUGACGGGGGCCCGCACAAGCAGUGGAGUAUGUGGAUUAAUUCGAAGCAACGCGAAGAACCUUACCAGGUCUUGACAUCGUAUGCAUAGCUCAGAGAUGAGUGAAAUCUCUUCGGAGACAUAUAGACAGGUGGUGCAUGGUUGUCGUCAGCUCGUGUCGUGAGAUGUUGGGUUAAGUCCCGCAACGAGCGCAACCCUUACUGUUAGUUGCUACGCAAGAGCACUCUAGCAGGACUGCCGUUGACAAAACGGAGGAAGGUGGGGAUGACGUCAAAUCAUCAUGCCCCUUAUGACCUGGGCCUCACACGUACUACAAUGGCUGUCAACAGAGGGAAGCAAAGCCGCGAGGUGGAGCGAACCCCUAAAAGCAGUCUUAGUUCGGAUUGUAGGCUGCAACCCGCCUACAUGAAGUCGGAAUUGCUAGUAAUCGCAGAUCAGCAUGCUGCGGUGAAUACGUUCCCGGGCCUUGUACACACCGCCCGUCACGCCAUGGGAGUCGGUAACACCCGAAGCCUGUAGUCUAACCGCAAGGAGGACGCAGUCGAAGGUGGGAUUGAUGACUGGGGUG
This 1434-nucleotide ribosomal RNA is filed under the name uncultured bacterium. Its description in RNAcentral is "bacterial SSU rRNA". It matches the Rfam family "Bacterial small subunit ribosomal RNA". The record is from RNAcentral.